This is a long non-coding RNA of Zingiber officinale, 279 nucleotides long. RefSeq lists it as uncharacterized. The record is from RefSeq and is a predicted model, not a curated record. NCBI's taxonomy places the organism in Eukaryota, Viridiplantae, Streptophyta, Magnoliopsida, Zingiberales, Zingiberaceae. The transcript is spliced from 2 exons.
UUGGAAAGGAUUGCUAAGGAUACUCAUGGCUAUGUUGGGGCUAACCUUGCUGCUUUAUGCACUGAAGCUGCUCUCCAGUGUAUCUGUGAAAAGAUGGACAUAAUUGAUCUAGAAGAUGAAUCAAUUGAUGCUAAGAUUCUCAAUUCUAUGUCUGUUACAAAUGAACACUUUAAGACUGCUUUGGGAUCUAGUAACCCAUCUGCCCUCCGUGAAACUGUUGUUGAAGUACCAAAUGUCAGCUAGGAUGAUAUUGGUGGGCUGGAAAAUGUCAAGAGGGAA